RNAcentral lists this ribosomal RNA (505 nucleotides) under uncultured bacterium. Its description in RNAcentral is "partial 16S ribosomal RNA". The record is from RNAcentral.
GGAGUUAGCCGGUGCUUCUUCUGUGAGUGAUGUCCUUCCUGCCGGUUAUUGACCCGCAGGCCUUCUUCCUCACUGAAAGUGCUUUACAACCCGAAGGCCUUCUUCACACACGCGGCAUGGCUGGAUCAGGGUUGCCCCCAUUGUCCAAUAUUCCCCACUGCUGCCUCCCGUAGGAGUCUGGGCCGUGUCUCAGUCCCAGUGUGGCUGAUCAUCCUCUCAGACCAGCUACGGAUCGUCGCCUUGGUGAGCCGUUACCUCACCAACCAGCUAAUCCGACAUAGGCUCAUCCGAUAGCGCGAGGCCCGAAGGUCCCCCGCUUUCCCCCGUAGGGCGUAUGCGGUAUUAGCCUGGGUUUCCCCAGGUUAUCCCCCACUACCGGGCAGAUUCCUAUGCAUUACUCACCCGUCCGCCGCUCGCCACCAGGGAGCAAGCUCCCCGUGCUGCCGCUCGACUUGCAUGUGUAGCUCGCCGCCACGCGUCAUCUGAGCAGAAUACAACUACUCGA